RNAcentral lists this ribosomal RNA (546 nucleotides) under Bacillus swezeyi. RNAcentral describes it as "bacterial SSU rRNA". It matches the Rfam family "Bacterial small subunit ribosomal RNA", at positions 1 to 532 of the family's 1533-position model. Lineage: Bacteria; Bacillati; Bacillota; Bacilli; Caryophanales; Bacillaceae. The record is from RNAcentral.
AUGGAGAGUUUGAUCCUGGCUCAGGACGAACGCUGGCGGCGUGCCUAAUACAUGCAAGUCGAGCGGACCGACGGGAGCUUGCUCCCUUAGGUCAGCGGCGGACGGGUGAGUAACACGUGGGUAACCUGCCUGUAAGACUGGGAUAACUCCGGGAAACCGGGGCUAAUACCGGAUGCUUGAUUGAACCGCAUGGUUCAAUCAUAAAAGGCGGCUUCGGCUGCCGUUUACAGAUGGACCCGCGGCGCAUUAGCUAGUUGGUGAGGUAAYGGCUCACCAAGGCGACGAUGCGUAGCCGACCUGAGAGGGUGAUCGGCCACACUGGGACUGAGACACGGCCCAGACUCCUACGGGAGGCAGCAGUAGGGAAUCUUCCGCAAUGGACGAAAGUCUGACGGAGCAACGCCGCGUGAGUGAUGAAGGUUUUCGGAUCGUAAAGCUCUGUUGUUAGGGAAGAACAAGUACCGUUCGAAUAGGGCGGUACCUUGACGGUACCUAACCAGAAAGCCACGGCUAACUACGUGCCAGCAGCCGCGGUAAUACGUAGGU